Suricata suricatta (meerkat) is the source of this 304-nucleotide long non-coding RNA. RefSeq lists it as uncharacterized. Lineage: Eukaryota; Metazoa; Chordata; Mammalia; Carnivora; Herpestidae. The record is from RefSeq and is a predicted model, not a curated record. The transcript is spliced from 2 exons.
UCACGGACCAGAAACUUGACAACACCGCGGGCCCACUGCUCAGACAGGACACUGGAGCAGCGGGAGGAAAGUGCCGCAGGAAGAGGGUGAGAAGAAGCUUUAACAAGAGGAAACUACCAGAGGAUGAGCUCCACCAAACGGAGGGAGGAAAUCCAGAAAAUGAAGACAAAGAGUCCAACACAGGAGAGAAUUUUAACAAGCCCGUGACUUCCUAGAAAACAGAAGGGCUGGCCUUUGAACACCCCUUCCUGCCCCCCACCCAUCUGGCCUUUCAAGUGACUCAUGAAGCAACAUUGAAAACGAA